This 69-nucleotide transfer RNA is filed under the name Pelodiscus sinensis (Chinese soft-shelled turtle). It matches the Rfam family "tRNA". From Rfam's summary of the family: Transfer RNA (tRNA) molecules are approximately 80 nucleotides in length. Their secondary structure includes four short double-helical elements and three loops (D, anti-codon, and T loops). Further hydrogen bonds mediate the characteristic L-shaped molecular structure. tRNAs have two regions of fundamental functional importance: the anti-codon, which is responsible for specific mRNA codon recognition, and the 3' end, to which the tRNAs corresponding amino acid is attached (by aminoacyl-tRNA synthetases). tRNAs cope with the degeneracy of the genetic code in two manners: having more than one tRNA (with a specific anti-codon) for a particular amino acid; and 'wobble' base-pairing, i.e. permitting non-standard base-pairing at the 3rd anti-codon position. The record is from Rfam by way of RNAcentral. Lineage: Eukaryota; Metazoa; Chordata; Testudines; Trionychidae.
CUGAUGCUCUACCAAGGUAGAGCAUCAGACUUUUAAUCUGAGGGUCCAGGGUUCAAGUCCCUGGUCAGG